UCCGGCUUGUCACCGGCAGUUCCCUCAGAGUGCCCGGCCAAACCCGGGGGCAACUGAGGGCGAGGGUUGCGCUCGUUGCGGGACUUAACCCAACAUCUCACGACACGAGCUGAAGACAGCCAUGCAGCACCUGUCACCGGCCAAUUGAUGAGCCCCGUCUCCAGGGCCCCGACCGGGAAGUCAAGGGCUGGUAAGGUUCUUCGCGUUGCCUCGAAUUAAACCACAUGCUCCACCGCUUGUGCGGGCCCCCGUCAAUUCCUUUGAGUUUUAAUCUUGCGACCGUACUCCCCAGGCGGGGUGCUUAAUGCGUUUGCUGCGCCACCGAUCAGCAUGCCGACCGACGGCUAGCACCCAUAGUUUACGGCGUGGACUAC
This 374-nucleotide unclassified non-coding RNA is filed under the name uncultured Alphaproteobacteria bacterium. RNAcentral describes it as "contains 16S-23S intergenic spacer region". Lineage: Bacteria; Pseudomonadati; Pseudomonadota; Alphaproteobacteria. The record is from RNAcentral.